CUACGGGUCGCAGCAGUGGGGAAUCUUAGACAAUGGGCGCAAGCCUGAUCUAGCCAUGCCGCGUGAGCGAUGAAGGCCUUAGGGUUGUAAAGCUCUUUCAGCUGGGAAGAUAAUGACUGUACCAGCAGAAGAAGCCCCGGCUAACUCCGUGCCAGCAGCCGCGGUAAUACGGAGGGGGCUAGCGUUGUUCGGAAUUACUGGGCGUAAAGCGCACGUAGGCGGACUGGAAAGUCAGGGGUGAAAUCCCGGGGCUCAACCCCGGAACUGCCUUUGAAACUCCCAGUCUUGAGGUCGAGAGAGGUGAGUGGAAUUCCGAGUGUAGAGGUGAAAUUCGUAGAUAUUCGGAGGAACACCAGUGGCGAAGGCGGCUCACUGGCUCGAUACUGACGCUGAGGUGCGAAAGCGUGGGGAGCAAACAGGAUUAGAUACCCCAGUAGUC
Molecule: ribosomal RNA, 439 nt
Filed under: uncultured bacterium
Lineage: Bacteria
Description: partial 16S ribosomal RNA
Rfam family: Bacterial small subunit ribosomal RNA
Source: RNAcentral